This 531-nucleotide ribosomal RNA is filed under the name uncultured Cytophaga sp. RNAcentral's name for it is "bacterial SSU rRNA". It matches the Rfam family "Bacterial small subunit ribosomal RNA", at positions 1 to 524 of the family's 1533-position model. Lineage: Bacteria; Pseudomonadati; Bacteroidota; Cytophagia; Cytophagales; Cytophagaceae. The record is from RNAcentral.
ACAGUAUAUAAGAGUUUGAUCAUGGCUCAGGAUGAACGCUAGCGGCAGGCCUAAUACAUGCAAGUCGAGGGGCAGCGGGGUAGCAAUACUGCCGGCGACCGGCGCACGGGUGCGUAACACGUAUGCAACCUACCUUAAACAGGGGGCAGUAGCCCGGGGAAACUCGGAUUAAUACCCCAUAACACGGUGCUGUCACAUGACAAUGUCGUUAAAGAUUUAUCGGUUUAAGCUGGGCAUGCGUUCGAUUAGCUAGUUGGUAAGGUAAUGGCUUACCAAGGCUACGAUCGAUAGGGGUGCUAAGAGGAUGAUCCCCCCACACUGGUACUGAGAUACGGACCAGACUCCUACGGGAGGCAGCAGUAGGGAAUAUUGGUCAAUGGAGGCAACUCUGAACCAGCCAUGCCGCGUGUAGGAAGAAGGCGUUCUGCGUUGUAAACUACUUUUGAUUGGGAACAAAUGACUCUUGCGAGAGUAGCUGAGUGUACCAAUAGAAUAAGCCACGGCUAACUACGUGCCAGCCGCCGCGGUAAU